GACGAACGCUGGCGGCGUGCCUAAUACAUGCAAGUCGAGCGGACCGACGGGAGCUUGCUCCCUUAGGUCAGCGGCGGACGGGUGAGUAACACGUGGGUAACCUGCCUGUAAGACUGGGAUAACUCCGGGAAACCGGGGCUAAUACCGGAUGCUUGAUUGAACCGCAUGGUUCAAUCAUAAAAGGUGGCUUUYAGCUACCACUUACAGAUGGACCCGCGGCGCAUUAGCUAGUUGGUGAGGUAACGGCUCACCAAGGCGACGAUGCGUAGCCGACCUGAGAGGGUGAUCGGCCACACUGGGACUGAGACACGGCCCAGACUCCUACGGGAGGCAGCAGUAGGGAA
This 344-nucleotide ribosomal RNA is filed under the name Bacillus sp. R-27015. RNAcentral describes it as "bacterial SSU rRNA". It matches the Rfam family "Bacterial small subunit ribosomal RNA", at positions 28 to 361 of the family's 1533-position model. The record is from RNAcentral. Lineage: Bacteria; Bacillati; Bacillota; Bacilli; Caryophanales; Bacillaceae.